Long non-coding RNA from Homarus americanus (American lobster), 514 nucleotides. RefSeq lists it as uncharacterized. The transcript is spliced from 2 exons. Lineage: Eukaryota; Metazoa; Arthropoda; Malacostraca; Decapoda; Nephropidae. The record is from RefSeq and is a predicted model, not a curated record.
AGUUGGCUUAAGGACGGCCCUGUUUAACACAAGACAAGUCAGUUUAUCAUUGGGUGUAGUGUGGUGGGACCUCGAGCGUGGGCCAGCGACAAUAGUACUAGACGAGGCUUUAGAAAAAGAAGAGGAAUACGAGGAGGAGGAAAGGGAGGGGUAACACUCACAAGUACCUACCCACAAUACAUCAGCCUCACCAGGUUCCAAGAGCCAGCACCUACAGCCAGAAACUCACCGUGGCGAGGAACUUGUCGGCUGUCCAGAACUGUAGGAGGUCACCCACGUUUACCAGGAUGGUGCCGGGCACAGGGACUGCCUCCACCCAUGACCCUCCGCGUUCACGUACCUGAUGGAGGAGGAACUGUCACCAAGGCCAGCUUAACACCCCCAUCAACACUGGUGCCAGAGUAAUCAUGAAGAGAGAGAGAGAGAGAGAGAGAGAGAGAGAGAGAGAGAGAGAGAGAGAGAGAGAGAAAUCUUGUAUAUAUUCCUUAAUUAUUAGUAAAAUGCAAACACGUUG